Molecule: RNA transcript, 2830 nt
Organism: Selaginella moellendorffii
Lineage: Eukaryota; Viridiplantae; Streptophyta; Lycopodiopsida; Selaginellales; Selaginellaceae
Gene name: alpha-protein kinase 1
Exons: 5
Source: RefSeq, a predicted model, not a curated record
AUCCUUCUCUCUCACUCAUCUCUCUCCAUUCUCUCUUCUCUAGCUUGGCACUGGCGGCCAUCGAUCGAUCUUCCUCCGUACCUCUGGUGCCGCCCAUCGAUCCAAUUUCCAUAGGGCAAAGAUCCGCGCUCGCGCGCUGAUCAAUCUUGUGAUGGUCCGCCCUUGAGAUCGAGUCGAAUUCGUCCGAUGACGAGCAAGGGGAGCUCGAGGGAAGGGCGGGGAGAGAGCAGCCGUAGCAGCCAUAGCAAUCACCACGGCAAGGGGCAGAGUAGGGCAAAUGCCGCGGUAGCAGAGCCCUUGUUCCCCAGGGUUCACGUUAGCGACACCAGGAAUGGCCCCAAAGCGCCGCCUCGCAACAAAAUGGCGCUCUACGAGCAGCUCACGGUUCCAUCGCAGCAUUUUCUCCAAAGGCAAGCCUCCGGAUCGGUGUGGCCGCCCAUGAAUCCAGCCUACGCUUCCCAGUAUGCACCAUUUGCCAGCAAUUGCUUCACACCAUGCUUCGUUCCUCCGGGGCUGUCAUUCCACCACCAUGCCAGCUCCACGGAUGGAGGAACAGCGUCUCAAUCCAUGGGGGCGCCGCUCGGCAGCCAAAAGAGCAUGGUCAUGGACUCGGAAGUCGACAAGGAGCUGCAAAGAGUUCCUCGAGUCGUGGACGAGAACAAUCCAGUUGGAGGUGGUGGAAAUGCUGCUACUCCUACUACCCCCUGUGCUGCUCGACCAGUUCCCUGCGCAAAAUCUUCGUCCCAACAACAACAACAACAUCCAUGCGCAAAAUCUUCGUCCCAACAACAACAACAACAACAUCCAAGCGCAAAUACCAUCGCUGCCGCCACCGCUAACGUCGUGAACACCACUAUGGCCAACGCCACCCUCGCCAACGUGAACAAGAGGGUGAGGAACGAGGACGAUUUUGCCGUGCCGACUUACUGCUUCCCGAAAGAUGGCAAGGGGGUGGAAGCUGGCAGUGGUAGCAAGCAGCAGCAGCAGCAGCAUAGCAACACGAGGAGUGAGAUGAAUGCGAGCAAGAGCUCGGCAGCUGAGAUCGUGGAGAGGACUGUGCCAUCUUCGGCUGGAGUUUCUUCUUCUCCAGCUGCUGUUGCCGGUGUUACUGCUGCCGCUGGUGGUGGUGGUGGUGCUGCUACUGCUGCUCCGGGCGUGAUUUCUCCGCACAAAGGUCAUACGGAACACAUAUCCUCGAGCAAUAUCUGCGAGAGUGCUGCAGGCUCGGACAACCAGAGCGACGAUUUCUUCCAGUCACUGCACGAGGAGCAAGUGAGCGGCGAUGGGGAUUCCAACGCUUCCAUCGUCGACCCGUUCGGCAAGAUCGCGGCGAGGGACGUUGUUGGAGCCGUCGGGGAGAAGGAGUUUUGGAAGACGCGCAAGACGAUCUUAAGGCAGCAAAGGAUAUUUGAAACGCAGGUUUUUGAGCUCCAUCGUGUUGUCAAGGUGCAACACUUGCUAGCCGAGUCUCCAAAACUCUUGCUAGAGCCCGAUCACGCCAGGUUCCAUCUAGCCCAACCUCUGCGGAUCACGCACGAGAUUGCUACGCCGGCGGAGGAACGCCUGUUAGCUCAUCCUCCAGUAGCAGUCAGAGGAUCUAACAAAGAUCAAACAACAAACUUCACCACCGCUCAAGCCUCGAAGCCGCCCUACAAUCCCAAGGACCAACACCGCCAGCAAAGAUCAUACUCCACAGCACCAGCGGAUAUCUCUCCUCGAGAAGCUCCUCCACCACCACCAGCUGUAACAGCAACACUCAUAAACACAUGCUCGAGCUCUCCAGCGCCGCCGCCGCCGCCGCCGCAGAUGAACUCGAGCUCCACCACCACCACCCAAGGCAUGACUUAUCAAACGUUCCCGGGGGCCGCGAACUCCUGGGGGUUCGCCACCUUCCCGGCUGGCAACCAGUGGGCGAUGCUCCCACCCUCCUGCCAGCCUUACGUCUUCCAGCCGCCGCCAAACGCCGCUCAAAUGCUACCGGGUUACGGUGCCGCAUACCAGCCAGUCUUCCACAACGGUGCAGGAAGCUACGAGUUAUUCCCGAUGGUUCCACGCCCGCCAAGGAUGCAAACCGCCGAGAUGCAGCCCGUCUACUGGCAGCAGCCCAUGUACCCGAGCGUCCACUCCUCCGGCUGGUACGCUUUUCCUCCGCAGUUCUUCGACUCCUCCUCGGUACAAACACCGCAACCUUCAAAGCUUCCAAAGUCGGCGAACUCGACGGUCAUGUCCCCGAUGGAUCUCCAGCAAGAGCAGCGGCAGCAGCGGCAGCAGCAGCAGCAGUAUCAGCAGCAGCAGCAGCAGCCAAAGUUCCCCGGCUCGACGCACAACAGUGACAUGUCCUCCAUAGCUCAGAGCUCCGACUACCAUCACUUCCAGCAGCAGGAGCAGCAGGAGAAGAGAGGGCCCGAAAUGACACAAAGGUGGAUUGAAGGCGAGCACCAGCAGCACGGGGUGAGUUACUCGCUGCCUUUCUCGUACGUUCCUCCAUCGGAGAGGCACGAACAGCAGCAGCAACAGGGUGGUGGGGGUGGAGCAGGAUUUAAUGGAAACAAUGGGGCCAUGAAAGUUGUACCUCGGGCUGUAAUGGCCACGCCCGAAUCAGCAGCUGGGAUUCUCAAGUCAAUCCAGCGAGAGCGACGCUGAAGAAGAGUAAGAAAUCCAGAAAUGUAAUGUAAAGAAGCAGCAGCUUAGAAGCUGGAGGACAGCUGAAGAACAGCUCUCAUAAUGGAUAAAUGGAAGCAGCAGCCAACAUGGUGUAACUUUGUUUUUUGUAUGCAUCUUUUGUUUUACUAAAGAAAAGAGAUUUUUAGGGGUGACUAUACCACCUACA